CGCAAUCUUCACUAAAAUAACCAUUGUAAUAGCUCAUUUUUACCCGAGCCCAACACACCCAAACUUAACAACAAGCCUAAAAUCAACAACCCAAACCCAACCAACCCAAACACAAAUAACAAACCCUAAACAAAAUUAAAACCCGAGCCCAAAUUUUGCCCAGGUUCAAAUUAAACCAAAAAAAGAGUUCACAGUCCAUUACAAAAAAUUAAACCCAAAUACCCUAACCCAACAGGCCCAAACGGCCUAAGUACAAAUAAAAUAACCCUAAGCCCGGUUGACAGUAGCCCAAAGCCCAAGAAAUUUCAGCAAACAAAAACCCUAGGUGUGCCGCACCUAGGUCUUCUGACCCCUAGCCGCCAGCCUGCCUGCACCGCCUCUGCCACCAUCACAGCACGCCUCUAACACCUGCAAAAUAGCAGACAACACGCAACAACAGAGAAGAAGACAACAAGCAAAAAAACAAAUCGCAAAAGGACAAAAAUAAUGAUAACAAAUAGCCUUAGUUCGGCUAUAAAAGAAAAAAAAUGAAAACUCUGUACUUCUUCGGCAAGAUUAAUACAAAAAAAAAAGAUUUGAACUUUUUAAGGUGAUAUUUCAUUUUUCUUUAUGCUUUAGAUCUAUUUUUUAUUUCAUCUACAUCUACGAAAAUAAAUAAAUAAAAAAAGAAAAGAAAAAGACUUUGAUUUCAAGGUGAUAUUUCGUUUAUUUUAGAUCUAGUGUUUUUUUAUUUAUUUUUUAUCUACAAAAAUAAAAAAGGAAAAGAGAAACGUACCUAAUAUCGACCGUGGCUCCAUCGACGGAAGUCCCUCCGCCGUCGUCAGAAUCGGGCUUAAAAGGGAAAGGUUUUUUUUUAUUUUUCUUUUCUUUUUUUGGAUUUUUCGUCUCAAGAAACGGACUAAGGGAGGAGAAAUGGCCAAAAUGGUCUUUUUCCGAUGAACUCCGGUAACCGCAUGCGGUGGUCGAUGGCGACAGCGCUCGGUGCCUACGGUGGAGCCAUGGUGGUGUCCCAUGGCCGGAUCUGGAGAGGAAGGCUUUGAGAGGGAGAGAGUUUUCUAACAGUUUUUUUUUUUUAUUUUCUAAGGCAAAAAAUAAUUUUUGAAAAAAAGUUGGGUUUUAUAAGUGCAUGAAACGGCGCCGUUUUGCGCAAGUGCACAUCGACGUCGAAACGACGUCGUUUACAUCUUUACCCGCGCGCCUGAGUCCAACCCGAUGAAGGUUCGCGUGUUUUCAUGCCUGAUGGGUUAUUCCCCUACCCAAUCCUUCCGCUCUUGGGCUUCUU
This 1282-nucleotide long non-coding RNA is filed under the name Gossypium barbadense (sea-island cotton). RNAcentral's name for it is "long non-coding RNA (GBAR_LNC014717)". Lineage: Eukaryota; Viridiplantae; Streptophyta; Magnoliopsida; Malvales; Malvaceae. The record is from RNAcentral.